GACGAACGCUGGCGGCGUGCUUAACACAUGCAAGUCGAACGGAAAGGCCCUGCUUGCAGGGUACUCGAGUGGCGAACGGGUGAGUAACACGUGGGUGAUCUGCCCUGCACUUCGGGAUAAGCCUGGGAAACUGGGUCUAAUACCGGAUAGGAGCCAUUUUUAGUGUGAUGGUUGGAAAGUUUUUUCGGUGUAGGAUGAGCUCGCGGCCUAUCAGCUUGUUGGUGGGGUAAUGGCCUACCAAGGCGGCGACGGGUAGCCGGCCUGAGGGGGUGGACGGCCACAUUGGGACUGAGGGACGGCCCAGACUCCUACGGGAGGCAGCAGUGGGGAAUAUUGCACAAUGGGCGCAAGCCUGAUGCAGCGACGCCGCGUGGGGGAUGACGGCCUUCGGGUUGUAAACUCCUUUCGCUAGGGACGAAGCUUUUUGUGACGGUACCUAGAUAAGAAGCACCGGCUAACUACGUG
Molecule: ribosomal RNA, 465 nt
Filed under: uncultured bacterium
Lineage: Bacteria
Description: partial 16S ribosomal RNA
Rfam family: Bacterial small subunit ribosomal RNA
Source: RNAcentral